UCGGGAUAGCUCAGUUGGUAGAGCAGAGGACUGAAAAUCUCGACCCUCUCUCUAU
Molecule: transfer RNA, 55 nt
Filed under: Aletris pauciflora var. pauciflora
Lineage: Eukaryota; Viridiplantae; Streptophyta; Magnoliopsida; Dioscoreales; Nartheciaceae
Description: partial tRNA-Phe
Source: RNAcentral